AGCCAUAUCACGUUGAAACACGUACGAUCACCGAAGUUAAGCAACGUCGAGCCUGGUCAGUACCUACAUGGGCGAUCGCUUGGGAAUACCAGUUAUUGUAAG
This is a non-coding RNA of Acanthosepion pharaonis, 102 nucleotides long. The record is from the annotation of a GenBank genome assembly. Lineage: Eukaryota; Metazoa; Mollusca; Cephalopoda; Sepiida; Sepiidae.